Molecule: non-coding RNA, 57 nt
Filed under: Fundulus heteroclitus (mummichog)
Lineage: Eukaryota; Metazoa; Chordata; Actinopteri; Cyprinodontiformes; Fundulidae
Source: RNAcentral
GGCAGCUGCAGGUGUGAGCAUGCACGCAGCGUCCUGAUGCUCAUGUAUGAUGCUGCC